GGAGAGGUGGGUGAGUGGCUGAAACCACCGCUUUGCUAAAGCGGCGUGCGCCGAAAGGUGUACCGGGGGUUCGAAUCCCCCCCUCUCC
Molecule: transfer RNA, 88 nt
Filed under: Alcanivorax sp.
Lineage: Bacteria; Pseudomonadati; Pseudomonadota; Gammaproteobacteria; Oceanospirillales; Alcanivoracaceae
Description: tRNA-Ser
Rfam family: tRNA
About the family: Transfer RNA (tRNA) molecules are approximately 80 nucleotides in length. Their secondary structure includes four short double-helical elements and three loops (D, anti-codon, and T loops). Further hydrogen bonds mediate the characteristic L-shaped molecular structure. tRNAs have two regions of fundamental functional importance: the anti-codon, which is responsible for specific mRNA codon recognition, and the 3' end, to which the tRNAs corresponding amino acid is attached (by aminoacyl-tRNA synthetases). tRNAs cope with the degeneracy of the genetic code in two manners: having more than one tRNA (with a specific anti-codon) for a particular amino acid; and 'wobble' base-pairing, i.e. permitting non-standard base-pairing at the 3rd anti-codon position.
Source: RNAcentral